GAGUUGAAGGCAUAUGCAUAGUAUUAAAGAAGUUCAUGUUCUUUAACUUAGAGGUUUGAAUGGGUGAGUUAUACGCGGAGGCACCUGAGUCAGACGUAGACAUUGAAUCGUCGAAACGAACCCUCUUUUUUGGAGAACGUUUUGAAAAUACAACUGGUUUUUUUGGAGACUUCACGAAAAACAUUCGAGGCAAGUUAUUAUUAAGCAAGGGUUGAGUGGGAAAACUAUGAACUCUAUCACGAUUGAUAGUUCGUGAAUCAUCGGAUGUUGAGUUGAGCUUAUAACUUUCUGAUAAGACAGAUAUAUUAGGUUUCUCGCCAAGACCAAUGCCCAACAACCACUUUUCCAGUAUCGAGAAUAGCUCUUGCAUACCUCCCUCUUUUAGCAAUGAACUAGCUUUGAAAGAACUUCUAAGAAGGGAUUCUAAAACAGGAGUGAACUCAUCAACUUUAUUCUGAGCAUCUAGAACCUGAUUCUCAAUAAUUGAUUUUAGCAAGUCAACUUCAUCCUGUAACACAUCAGCGUACAUGGUAGCACCUUCUUGUUUGUAUGUGUUGAUAAUGUGAGAAACACUUCUCUGAAACUUUUGGUAUACAAGUUCAGGAUCUAUAUCAGCAAUGAUCUCUGCACGACGAGUUAACAAUGAUUCUAACUUUGAACGAACUAAAAAUACUCGUUCAUCUGCGGAAUUCGGAAGUAUUCGCUCAUAGCAGGAUAACCAGUACUUAAGUACGCGAAUUGAAUCAUCAAAAUGUUUCACCUUUUCUACCUUAUUAAUAGUAUCAUUUUGCAGUGGUAAAGUCUCCUCAAAUGUCAUACGCAAUAAAUUUCUGGCUUCUGCAAGCUUCGAUUCAUGAGCAAAAGAUUGAGUUACAGCGUCCUGAUCAGAACCAUUUGAUUGCGAUGACAAAUCGAUCUGUGCGAGACGAUUCUCCAACUCUGAAAUUUGCUCACGUAACUCAACGAUUGCUUUUACAUAUUGGCUUACAUGUCGAUCUACACUGAUCAUGUUCCUUAACACUUCGGUUUUGAUAUUCUUUGCUCGAUUAGCAUAUUUUAGAGUAUUGUGAGUUUCUUCGUAAUGAACAGAAGACGGAGAUACGCAAACAAUCAUAACUGUCCGACAAUUUCCGCCUAAACUAAACUUAAGUAAGCGAGUAAGUUUAGAAUCACGAUAGGGGACAUGCGCACGGCGAUGGGGAUCACAAAGGGCAUUGAUACAAUUUCCUAGGGCUAAAAGAGAUUUAUUAAUAUUAGCACCUUCAAAAAGACGACUACCUCUUAAUUUGGUAGCUGUUGCACGUUCUGAGCCAGCCAAGUCAAUAAUUGAUAAAGUGGCCAAAGUGUGGUCCUCAUUGAUGCCAGCUGUACGAGGUUUUUGGAUCAACGUAACCUGCAAUACAGCAUGCGAACGAGAUGAAGCAGCGUUAGCUUCUGUCGGAGACAUAGUACGAUUAGCAUUUCCCUUCAUGAUAAUAUCAAUGAUUUCUUCCAAAGAUUCUGGAGACAAAGAAGUAAGACCUGGUACAGUAAUGCGACGGUCUGCAUCUUCCCGUAAAUUUAAUGGCUUUGCUUGAUUUGGGGUCGG
This 1588-nucleotide long non-coding RNA is filed under the name Schizosaccharomyces pombe (fission yeast). Lineage: Eukaryota; Fungi; Ascomycota; Schizosaccharomycetes; Schizosaccharomycetales; Schizosaccharomycetaceae. The record is from RNAcentral.